This 3138-nucleotide ribosomal RNA is filed under the name Thermostaphylospora chromogena. Its description in RNAcentral is "bacterial LSU rRNA". It matches the Rfam family "Bacterial large subunit ribosomal RNA". The record is from RNAcentral. Lineage: Bacteria; Bacillati; Actinomycetota; Actinomycetes; Streptosporangiales; Thermomonosporaceae.
GGUCAAGUUGUGUAGGGCACACGGUGGAUGCCUUGGCAUCAGGAGCCGAUGAAGGACGUGGGAGGCUGCGAUAAGCCUCGGGGAGUCGCCAGCCAGACGUUGAUCCGGGGAUGUCCGAAUGGGGGAACCCGGCGGGUGUUGUGGCCCGUCAUCUCCGCUUGAAUUCAUAGGGCGGGGAAGGGAACGCCGGGGAAGUGAAACAUCUCAGUACCCGCAGGAAGAGAAAACAAUAGUGAUUCCGUGAGUAGUGGUGAGCGAAAGCGGAUGAGGCUAAACCGUGCGCGUGUGAUAGCCGGCGGGUGUUGCGUGUGCGGGGUUGUGGGACCCUCUGGUGGUUUCCGCCGAGACCACAAGCAGUGAGAAAUCGGUGGGGUAGCCGAAGGUUCUGGGAAGGGCUGCCGUAGACCGUGAUAGCCGGGUAGGUGAAACUCUGCCGACUGCUGGAGGGGAUCCCCGAGUAGCACGGGGCUCGAGGAAUCCUGUGUGAAUCUGCCAGGACCACCUGGUAAGCCUGAAUACUUCCUGGUGACCGAUAGUGGACGAGUACCGUGAGGGAAAGGUGAAAAGUGCCCCGGUGAGGGGUUGUGAAAGAGUACCUGAAACCGUGUGCCUGCAAGCCGUGGGAGCGUUGGUCUGUUCCUUUGUGGAUGGGCCGUGAUGUGACUGCGUGCCUUUUGAAGAAUGAGCCUGCGAGUUACGGUGUGUGGCGAGGUUAACCCGUGUGGGGGAGCCGUAGCGAAAGCGAGUCUGAAUAGGGCGUUGAGUCGCAUGCUGUAGACCCGAAGCGGGGUGAUCUACGCAUGGGCAGGGUGAAGCUCAGGUAAGACUGGGUGGAGGCCCGAACCCACCAGGGUUGAAAACCUGGGGGAUGACCUGUGUGUAGGGGUGAAAGGCCAAUCAAACUCCGUGAUAGCUGGUUCUCCCCGAAAUGCAUUUGGGUGCAGCGUCGCGUGGUUCUUGCCGGAGGUAGAGCACUGGAUGGCCGAUGGGCCCGACAAGGUUACUGACGUCAGCCAAACUCCGAAUGCCGGUAAGGGUGAGCGCGGCAGUGAGACUGCGGGGGAUAAGCUUCGUAGUCGAGAGGGAAACAGCCCGGACCACCGGCUAAGGCCCCUAAGCGUGUGCUGAGUGGGAAAGGAUGUGGAGUCGCAGUGACAACCAGGAGGUUGGCUUAGAAGCAGCCAUCCUUGAAAGAGUGCGUAAUAGCUCACUGGUCAAGUGAUUUCGCGCCGAUAAUGUAGCGGGGCUUAAGCACAUCGCCGAAGCCGUGGCACUUCUGCAGCCGUGUGUGUUGUGGGGGUGGGUAGGGGAGCCGUCGUGCGGCGGGUGAAGCGGCGGAGUGAUCCAGUCGUGGACGCUGUGCGAGUGAGAAUGCAGGCAUGAGUAGCGAAUGAGGGGUGGGAAACCCCUCCGCCGGAUGACCAAGGGUUCCUGGGGCAGGUUAAUCCGCCCAGGGUAAGUCGGGGCCUAAGGCGAGGCCGACAGGCGUAGUCGAUGGAUAACGGGUUGAUAUUCCCGUACCCGCCGUGGUGCGCCCACGUCGAGGCCGUUGAUGCUAACCCGUCGAGUCCGGCCACUCUCUUCUUUGAGGGGGGUGGUGUGGAGGAGCCGGGGACCCGAGGCGGUAGUAGGCGAGCGAUGGGGUGACGCAGGAAGGUAGUCCAGCCCAGGCGGUGGUUGUCCUGGGGUAAGCAUGUAGGGCGGGGCGUAGGUAAAUCCGCGUCCCUUUUGAGCCUGAGGUGUGAUGCCGAGCCGAUUGUGGCGAAGUGGAUGAUCCUAUGCUGCCGAGAAAAGCCUCUAGCGAGUGCCGUGGCGGCCCGUACCCGAAACCGACUCAGGUGGUCGAGUAGAGAAUACUCAGGCGAUCGGGUGAACUGUGGUUAAGGAACUCGGCAAAUUGCCCCCGUAACUUCGGGAGAAGGGGGGCCUCUGCUGGUGAUGGGCUUUGCGCUCGGAGCUGGUGGGGGUCGCAGUGGCCAGGGGGAAGCGACUGUUUACUAAAAACAUAGGUCCGUGCGAAGUCGUAAGACGAUGUAUACGGACUGACGCCUGCCCGGUGCCGGAACGUUAAGGGGACCGCUUAGCCACUGCUUUUGUGGUGGCGAAGGUGAGAACUUAAGCGCCGGUAAACGGCGGUGGUAACUAUAACCAUCCUAAGGUAGCGAAAUUCCUUGUCGGGUAAGUUCCGACCUGCACGAAUGGCGUAACGACUUCCCCGCUGUCUCAACCGCAGACCCGGCGAAAUUGCACUACGAGUAAAGAUGCUCGUUUCGCGCAGCAGGACGGAAAGACCCCGGGACCUUCACUGCAGCUUGACAUUGGUGUCUGGGGCGGCUUGUGUAGGAUAGGUGGGAGACUGUGAAGCCUGGACGCCAGUUCGGGUGGAGUCGUCGGUGAAAUACCACUCUGGUCGUUUUGGAUGUCUAACCCGCGCCCGUGGAUCCGGGUGGGGGACAGUGUCUGGUGGGUAGUUUAACUGGGGCGGUUGCCUCCUAAAGGGUAACGGAGGCGCCCAAAGGUCCCCUCAGCCUGGUUGGUAAUCAGGUGUUGAGUGUAAGUGCACAAGGGGGCUUGACUGUGAGACCGACGGGUCGAGCAGGAGCGAAAGCUGGGACUAGUGAUCCGGCACCGGUGUGUGGAAGCGGUGUCGCUCAACGGCUAAAAGGUACCCCGGGGAUAACAGGCUGAUCUUCCCCAAGAGUCCAUAUCGACGGGAUGGUUUGGCACCUCGAUGUCGGCUCGUCGCAUCCUGGGGCUGGAGUAGGUCCCAAGGGUUGGGCUGUUCGCCCAUUAAAGCGGUACGCGAGCUGGGUUUAGAACGUCGCGAGACAGUUCGGUCCCUAUCCGCUGCGCGCGUAGGAGACUUGAUGGGGGGCUGUCCCUAGUACGAGAGGACCGGGACGGACGAACCUCUGGUGUGCCAGUUGUGCCGCCAGGUGCAUGGCUGGUUGGCUACGUUCGGAAGGGAUAACCGCUGAAAGCAUCUAAGCGGGAAGCUCGCCCCGAGAUGAGGUCUCCCACCGGGAUGACCGGGUAAGGCCCCCAGGAGAUGACUGGGUUGAUAGGCCGGAGGUGGAAGCGCGGUAACGUGUGGAGCUGACCGGUACUAAUAGGCCGAGGACUUGACCAUAUAAGAGG